This 253-nucleotide ribosomal RNA is filed under the name uncultured bacterium. Its description in RNAcentral is "partial 16S ribosomal RNA". It matches the Rfam family "Bacterial small subunit ribosomal RNA", at positions 524 to 776 of the family's 1533-position model. The record is from RNAcentral.
GACGUAGGGCGCGAGCGUUGUCCGGAUUUAUUGGGCGUAAAGAGCUCGUAGGCGGCUUGUCGCGUCGUUCGUGAAAACCUGGGGCUCAACUCCAGGCUUGCGGGCGAUACGGGCAGGCUAGAGUUCGGUAGGGGAGACUGGAAUUCCUGGUGUAGCGGUGAAAUGCGCAGAUAUCAGGAGGAACACCAAUAGCGAAGGCAGCUCGCUGGGACGGUACUGACGCUAAGGCGCGAAAGCGUGGGGAGCGAACAGG